GAUGAACGCUAGCUACAGGCCUAAUACAUGCAAGUCGAGGGGACACGACAUCGACUGCCUGCUCUUGCUGGGCGUCCAGACGGGCAAGGGAGAGUAGCAUGACCUACAUCUGACACUCACAUAAGUUCAAGAUAGCGAUGGUAAGACCAGUUAACGUUGAUAACCCCAUGAUUCAACAGUAAGGGACGAACGUUCUAUCAGUGAUGGAUGGAGCCGCGGCUGAUUAGCUAGUUGGCGGGGUAACGGCUCACCAAGGCGACGAUCAGUAGGGGUUCUGAGAGGAAGGUCCCCCACAGUGGAACUGAGACACGGUCCAAACACCUACGGGAGGCAGCAGUGAGGAAUAUUGGUCAAUGGGCGAGAGCCUGAACCAGCCAAGUAGCGUGCAGGAUGACGGCCCUAUGGGUUGUAAACUGCUUUUAUAAGGGAAUAAAGUGAGUCUCGUGAGACUUUUUGCAUGUACCUUAUGAAUAAGGACCGGCUAAUUCCGUG
This 492-nucleotide ribosomal RNA is filed under the name uncultured bacterium. RNAcentral's name for it is "partial 16S ribosomal RNA". It matches the Rfam family "Bacterial small subunit ribosomal RNA", at positions 28 to 507 of the family's 1533-position model. The record is from RNAcentral.